CAGGACUCAUCCGGUGAUUUAUGGUUCUGUCCUGAGAUCUAAACAAGUUCACUGAUGAACUGAAGGACCUGCUGUGGUUUGGUGACGUCAAGACUCUCAGCUGUUCCUCAGAGAGAAGCUGGACUUUAAAACCAUUCGGAUUGAGUCCUCGUGUGCCGAUCUGAUUCAGGUCCGAUGAGAAGAUCUGAUGAGCUCUGAUAUAUUAUACAACCUGGAAGGUCCACAUUCCUGAAUCAUAAGAGUUUCAUUUUUCUCAUAGCUGCUGAUGAUGAAGGUUAUGGUUCACUGGUUAUUGCUUCAUACAAUGGCUGUUAGUCAUUGAACACUUAUAGGCCUGUAUCAGUUACCUAACAGCUAUCUGUAAGAACUUUAGAACUGUGACAAGUCUGACAUUCUUGAGAUUCUUGGAUCUUCUGGUGAUGCUGGAGGCUCCUCUAGGUGCUCCUCACGGUGAUGGUGGAGAAUUUGUUGCGUCCACUGACAUAAAUAGGAAGGUCCUGUCCUGUUCCAGCAUGAGAGCUCUAUAAAGACAUGAAGAAAAGCGUCCUGCACAGAGCCCUGACCUCAACCUUACUCAACAGCUCUGGGAUAAACCGGAACACUGACUGAUCAAUCAGCACCCAGUCAUACAAAUGCUGUCAGGUUUUGACUGAAUGAGCACAAAUUGCCAUAGACAUAUUUCAGAAGCUGUUGUUCUGGCUGGAAAGAUCACAUACAGGUCCCUCUCACUAGCUGCAGCCAAACGUUAAGAGAUCAGCUGCUGUGUGGAACUGAGUUCAGGAUCAUGUUACUGUACAGAGCUGUUCGUGUUUCAGCAGAACUUUAGAUACAGUCUGUAGAGUUUAAGAUGUUCUCUUCACAUGUUGUAUUUCAAGUAAAUACUUCUGAAGUGAAAUAAAAUAAAAAUUAUUGUAUUA
This is a long non-coding RNA of Trichomycterus rosablanca, 917 nucleotides long. RefSeq lists it as uncharacterized. NCBI's taxonomy places the organism in Eukaryota, Metazoa, Chordata, Actinopteri, Siluriformes, Trichomycteridae. The transcript is spliced from 3 exons. The record is from RefSeq and is a predicted model, not a curated record.